This 65-nucleotide transfer RNA is filed under the name Dipodomys ordii (Ord's kangaroo rat). It matches the Rfam family "tRNA". Rfam says of the family: Transfer RNA (tRNA) molecules are approximately 80 nucleotides in length. Their secondary structure includes four short double-helical elements and three loops (D, anti-codon, and T loops). Further hydrogen bonds mediate the characteristic L-shaped molecular structure. tRNAs have two regions of fundamental functional importance: the anti-codon, which is responsible for specific mRNA codon recognition, and the 3' end, to which the tRNAs corresponding amino acid is attached (by aminoacyl-tRNA synthetases). tRNAs cope with the degeneracy of the genetic code in two manners: having more than one tRNA (with a specific anti-codon) for a particular amino acid; and 'wobble' base-pairing, i.e. permitting non-standard base-pairing at the 3rd anti-codon position. The record is from Rfam by way of RNAcentral. Lineage: Eukaryota; Metazoa; Chordata; Mammalia; Rodentia; Heteromyidae.
GGUGGCUCAGUGGUAGAGUACUUGCCUUGCAUGCAUGAGGCCCUGGGUUCGAAUCCUCAGCACCA